GAUGAAGACGUAGCGAAAUGCGAUAAGUAAUGUGAAUUGCAGAAUUCAGUGAAUCAUCGAAUCUUUGAACGCACAUUGCGCCCGCCAGCAUUCUGGCGGGCAUGCCUGUUCGAGCGUCAUUUCAACCCUCGAGCCCCCCCCGGGGGCCUCGGUGUUGGGGGACGGCACACCAGCCGCCCCCGAAAUGCAGUGGCGACCCCGCCGCAGCCUCCCCUGCGUAGUAGCACACACCUCGCACCGGAGCGCGGAGGCGGUCACGCCGUAAAACGCCCAACUUUCUUAGAGUUGACCUCGGAUCAGGUAGGAAUACCCGCUGAACUUAAGCAUAUCAAUAAGCGGAGGA
This 343-nucleotide unclassified non-coding RNA is filed under the name soil metagenome. RNAcentral describes it as "partial contains 5.8S ribosomal RNA, internal transcribed spacer 2, and large subunit ribosomal RNA". The stretch from base 1 to 119 matches the Rfam family "5.8S ribosomal RNA", at positions 35 to 154 of the family's 154-position model. The record is from RNAcentral.